UACGUAGGGGGCAAGCGUUGUCCGGAAUCAUUGGGCGUAAAGAGCGCGUAGGCGGCCCAGUAAGUCCGCUCUGAAAGUCAGGGGCUCAACCCCUGAAUGCGGGUGGAUACUGCUGGGCUAGAGUCCGGAAGAGGCGAGUGGAAUUCCUGGUGUAGCGGUGAAAUGCGCAGAUAUCUGGAGGAACACCGGUGGCGAAGGCGGCAUCCUGGACCGAUACUGACGCUGAGGAGCGAAAGCCAGGGGAGCAAACGGG
Molecule: ribosomal RNA, 253 nt
Filed under: uncultured bacterium
Lineage: Bacteria
Description: partial 16S ribosomal RNA
Rfam family: Bacterial small subunit ribosomal RNA
Source: RNAcentral